CCAAUAGCGUAUAUUAAAGUUGUUGCAGUUAAAAAGCUCGUAGUUGAAUUUCGGGAUCAGACUGUCGGUCGUGCCUCGGUACGCACUGGCAUUAUUGGUUCCUACCUUCUGAAGAACCGCGAUGUCAUUAAUUUGGUGUCGCGGGGAGUCAGGACUGUUACUUUGAAAAAAUUAGAGUGUUUAAAGCAGGCUUACGCUUGAAUACAUUAG
RNAcentral lists this ribosomal RNA (210 nucleotides) under uncultured Glomus. RNAcentral's name for it is "partial small subunit ribosomal RNA". It matches the Rfam family "Eukaryotic small subunit ribosomal RNA", at positions 591 to 807 of the family's 1831-position model. Lineage: Eukaryota; Fungi; Glomeromycota; Glomeromycetes; Glomerales; Glomeraceae. The record is from RNAcentral.